GGAAAACUACCCACAUACAUAUUACAGUUUGGCAAAAUCAGACUCUGGGCUUUCAAGCCACAAGCUACUCGGCAAAGACAAAGGCUGCCCUGGGAGUCCUCAUUACAAGCUCUCCACCAGGCCCCCAAAGUAAUUUUAAAAGUUCUCAAUUUACUGGAUCCCUGUCUAAGAAACACGGAUGAUAUUUUUAAUCUAUUUAAAUCUUAAAAGUUAUUUUUAACAUAAUUAAGCAUUUAUAACUUUGCUUUCUACAUACAUACUUUGAGUUAUGUAACAUCGCUGAGCUAAUACUUUGGACUGUGCUUCAAAAAAUUUACUGUAAUCGGGAUUUCACGUUUAAAUAUAAGAAAGGUUCCUUUUGGUUAGAAAUAAAUGAGCUUUUUUAAAAAAAAUGUUGAAAUUAGCCAAUGAUAGGAUUGCCAAAUUUGUAAUAAAACCAAACAAAAAAACCCAUACAUUUGAGCUGAGGUGUAGCUCAGUGGUAAAGUGCUUACCUACUAUGUGUAAGGCACUGGGUUUGAUUCUCAGCACCACAUAUAAAUAAAUAAAAUAAAGGUCCAUUGACAACUAAAAAAAAUGUUUUUUAAAAACAUAUAUUUUAGGAGAUGGUCAAUUAGUAUACUUUUUUCCACGCUGAAUCAACUAACAAGUAUUUAUUGCCUUAAUUAGACUAACUGACACCCAAAUAAGGAUUCUGACACUGUCCUCAAGAGAGACGAAAGGACUGCCUAAUUUAUCUUUAUGUCUGCAAUAUUGGAAGGAUUAUUAAGCAUUCAUUGUGUUCCCUUUUGCAAAGCACUUAAUAGUGAUUUAUCACUUCAUUCUCCGUCUGGGAGGCCACUUGCUUUGUCUUCAUUGUACAAGUACAGAAACUGAGGCAGCCGAGCAGUCACGGUCCUGGGUCCCCGCAGAACCUAGUGGCUGAAGUGACAUGGCCGAAUUCUGAAACCUGAGAACCCAUCAGACUCGGUUCACAGGCCUGGGCAGGAAUCUGGCAAGUGGAAUUCUGGGGGACUCCCUUGUUCACAUGGA
RNAcentral lists this long non-coding RNA (1032 nucleotides) under Marmota monax (woodchuck). The stretch from base 465 to 536 matches the Rfam family "tRNA". The record is from RNAcentral. Lineage: Eukaryota; Metazoa; Chordata; Mammalia; Rodentia; Sciuridae.